RNAcentral lists this ribosomal RNA (465 nucleotides) under uncultured bacterium. RNAcentral's name for it is "bacterial SSU rRNA". It matches the Rfam family "Bacterial small subunit ribosomal RNA", at positions 28 to 507 of the family's 1533-position model. The record is from RNAcentral.
GAUGAACGCUAGCGGCAGGCCUAAUACAUGCAAGUCGAACGGAUAUAUGUUUUUCGGAAUAUAUAUUAGUGGCGCACGGGUGAGUAACACGUACAUAACUUGCCCUCAAGCGGGGGAUAGCCUUGGGAAACUGAGAGUAAUACCCCAUAGAAUUAUUGGACGGCAUCGUUUGAUAAUUAAAACUACGGUGCUUGGGGAUAGAUGUGCGUCUGAUUAGCUAGUUGGUGAGGUAACUGCUCACCAAGGCGACGAUCAGUAGGGGGCGUGAGAGCGUGGCCCCCCACACGGGUACUGAGACACGGACCCGACUCCUACGGGAGGCAGCAGUAAGGAAUAUUGGUCAAAUGGAGGGAACUCUGAACCAGCCAUGCCGCGUGAAGGAUGACGGCCCUCUGGGUUGUAAACUUCUUUUGCCGAGGAAGAAUCAUGACGGUACUCGGAGAAUAAGAGGUUGCUAACUCUGUG